Cervus elaphus (red deer) is the source of this 412-nucleotide long non-coding RNA. RefSeq lists it as uncharacterized. The transcript has 3 exons. NCBI's taxonomy places the organism in Eukaryota, Metazoa, Chordata, Mammalia, Artiodactyla, Cervidae. The record is from RefSeq and is a predicted model, not a curated record.
CUUUUAGUUAGCUAUGUUAAAGGCUUGGGCAUCGCGUUAAAGAGCUUUCUGCUGAGAAGACUCAGCUGAGACAUCCCGUGGCCUGGAUUCAGCUUCUAAGACUCCCAGUCUGUGAGAGGCAAGAUAUGCCUGUUGGUGACAUCACUGGUACUUUUGAGUAGCUUCCUUGAAAUUGUUGUGGGGAUGUCGUGCCUGCAUGCCUUUAAAGAUACUCAUUUAGUCUAGCAAGACAGCCUGUAUUUUCUGCUCAAAGACUACUCUACCAAAAAAAAGUUUUGAAAAUGUUUGGAGAAAGAGCAGUACCAGCAGAAGAAACAACACGUGUGUCCUCAUGCAUGGCUGCCUUGAAGGGGCUCUAAUUUGAACUUAAUGAUUUUGAGGUAUUUGCUUACAAAUCAAUUCAACAACAGAA